ACAAAAACUAUGAGCAGACUAGUAGUUAUAAGCACAGACAGAGAGUAUUCGGAGCUGGAAAGAAUACAUGAUAGUUUAUAAUGAAUCACACCUGUCAGUUGAUUUUCUGAAUGUAGUCGAGUAUAUAUACAAAAGUAAGAAAUUCCGGAAAACGCCCCGUUAGCGCACGAGUUUGGUCAAAUUAAACUCCGUGAGUUCGUUUGUGUGAGCAAGCGAUGAACAUGAGGUGGAACCGCGAAUAGUCGUCCUCUUA
This 253-nucleotide non-coding RNA is filed under the name Ligilactobacillus pobuzihii. RNAcentral describes it as "Lactobacillus pobuzihii T-box sequence". It matches the Rfam family "T-box leader". Rfam says of the family: Uncharged tRNA acts as the effector for transcription antitermination of genes in the T-box leader family. The record is from RNAcentral. Lineage: Bacteria; Bacillati; Bacillota; Bacilli; Lactobacillales; Lactobacillaceae.